UGGACCUUCCAAAUUGAAUUU
Molecule: non-coding RNA, 21 nt
Organism: Caenorhabditis elegans
Lineage: Eukaryota; Metazoa; Nematoda; Chromadorea; Rhabditida; Rhabditidae
Source: Ensembl